CACCUCUUGAGCUGCAAGGAGACAAUGCACAUCUCUUCACUUUACACUUUAUAGUUAUAAAAUCCUACAAAGUUGAUCUUUCCCUUAUCUCAGGAGCCCUGUGUUCUGUGCUGCCUAUGUUUGUGGCUAAAUUUGCUUCUUGAAUGAGGCAUUUGGUUUUUUUUGAGGUACCCGGGGGCCGGGGAUUAAACCCGGGACCUCGUAGUGGGAAACCAGCACUCAAGCACUAGCCACAUCGGCUUCCCUGAGUUGGUUUUGUCAUUUAUUUUGCUUGUUGUAUGUUUCUGUUCUUUCAGGAGGCACCUGGAACCAAACCAGGACCUCCCAUGUGGGAGGCUCAAUCACUUGAGCCACAUCUGCUACCAUCGAAUGCGGUUUUUAAUGUCUGGUACCCAGGAGUGUAUAUCUGGGAAAGAGUCAAUGAGAGACAAUGCUCACCCAGAAAAAGGGCACUGGACAGCACAGAGGUUUCCUGUUUUUCAGCAACCCAGAUUCAGAGUUUCCAUGAUUGUCCUACAGAGAUGGGCGUAAACAUCUCUGGGCACCAGACCACAGUGGAGUCUGGCUGGAUUUCCAGUUUCUGGCCUCAAGACCUUCCUGCUCAUUGUUGCUUCAUUAAACACAUGGGGCCUACUCUCCUAUCCAAGUAAUUCUGCCUUCUGGAGCAACAGACUACAUGGAAAUUCAGAAACAAUACCUCAAGUAACCCACUGGGAGAGGUGGCAAAGCUGGUGGUUCUGUGCUCCCCUUACCUCUCACUCUCUCUCCACCCACCACCCACCUACCUGUAUAUCCUAAGUUUAUUCCAUGCACAAAGCUCUGAGCUUGGGCUGGAAGGAUCUAAAAUAAAGAAUCUCUGUUGGAGAAAUAAAAAUCAGUAUAAAUGAAGUGUUUAGAGAAUAAUUCAUUCAACUAAGUCAACAAACAUCUAUUUGGUAAUAGAUAGUUGGCAGUUAGGCACUACUGAGGGACACAAAGAAGAGGGGGUUCACAGUUUAAAGGGGAAGGCACGGUGCUUCAGAGAGGAGGUGACUUUUCAGUUGAAUUUUGGAAGAGGAGGAGUAUGUCGGGUGGAAAAGAGGGAAAAGAGGAAACAGUAAGUGCAAGGACAAGGAGGCCUGAAGUUGUCCAGCAGGCUCAGGGAACACACAGUCCACGGUGGCUCCAGAAGAGUUAGAUUAAGACUGCACUCAAGAAGGACUGAAAAAACAGGAGCAGAUUUGGCUCAAGUGGUGGAGCACCUGCUUCCCCAUGGGAGGUCCUGAGUUCAGUUUUAGUGCCUCCUAAAAAAAAAACAAAAACAAACAACAAACAAAAGAAAUGAAAAAACCAACUCAGGAGCACCAAUGUGGUUCAGUGGUUGAGUGCCAGCUUCCCACAUACAGGCCCCUGGUUCAAUCCCUGGCUCCCUAGUACCUCAAAAAAAAAAAAAAAAAAAAAAAGGACUGAAAAAAGAAAAAAAAAACAAAAAAUAUAUAUAUAUACAUAAUUUUUUAAAAAAGAACUGAGAUAUCUGAAGUUUAUGGUCAACAGGAAACUAGCAAAGACUGAUUUCAUGGAAGGGCAUAACCAGACCCACAUUUUAGAAUAUUAAAGCCAACAGAAGUGUCACUGAGAAAAACUGAGACAAUCAAAAGAGAACUGCCACCAACUCCCGCCCCAGUAUCGCCCCACUCAUCAGCACCUGUGUACAGUGCUGCCUUGGGUCCUGGGAGCAUAGAUGAGCUGCACAUUCUCCUAUCUCCUGUGCUCUAGAUUCUUCCUACCCAAGGCCACAGCCCAGAAAAUUUCCCCCUUUCACCUCCAAGAACAAAUUUGCUCUUUCUACAGGAUCAUUUCCACCAGCCUACACAAUGCUGGUAUUUCUCCUAUCUUGCAAAACCCUUUCUUGACCCCACAACCCCUUCCAGCCACUAUCCCAUUUCUUUCCUCUUUAUAAAACUCUUUGGAAGAGUUGCCCUGUUCAAUGUCAUGAGUUCCUCUUGCCCUCUCCCUUAAAUCCACUCCACUCAGGACUUUUCUCUCUCCACAGCACCAAAAUGGUUCUGAUCAAAGUCCCUAAUGACAUGACUUACUGAAUCAAAUGGUCAGUUCACAGUCCUAUGUAACUUGACCUCUCUCUCCUCCUAGAAACACUUUCUUCACUUGGCUCCCAGGGCCUCACUCACCUUUACUUUUCUCCUUUCUCACUGACUGCUCCUUCUCAGUUUCCUUGGUUGAUUCUCCUUCUUGUCCCUGACCUCAUGUUGAUGGUCCCAAGCUUGGAUCUCUGUCCUCUUCUCCUAUUACACACACUCCCUUGGUGAACUCAUCCAUCUACAAACGGACAACCCUCAAUUUUAUUUUUCUAGCCCAGCUGUCUCUCUUGAACUCCAGGCUUAUUUAUCCAACCACUUUCUCUUCCUUUAGAUGUCUGUUAGUUAUCUCAACUUUAACAUGUCCAAAACUGAGCUCUCAAUCUUCCCCUGAAGCCUGUUCCACUGCAGUUCUCCCCAUCUCAGCUCAAGAAACUCUGUCCUUCCAGUCGCUCAGGUCAAAAUUUUGAAGUCAUCAGUGAUGUUUCUUUUUCUCUUAUACCCCAUAUCCAGUCUGUUAGCAAAUCUUAUUGGCUUCAAUUUCAAUAUAUAUCCAGAAUCUACAUAACUUUCUGCUUUCAUUGCUACACCUUUGUCCAAGUCAUCGUAUCAUUUUUCACUUGGAUUAUUACAGCAGCCAUCUGAGUAGUCUCCCCACUUCAGCCCUUGCUCUCCACGCCAUCCCUCAGUCUAUUUUCCAUCCAUUAGAGAAUGAUCCUUUUAAAAUGAAGUCAUGUCAUAUCUCUUAUCAUCCUCCAAUGGAUCCUCAUUUAUCUCAGUGGAAGUGCCGUAUAUAAUGUAGCUUUCCAGUACUUAUAUAGUAUGUUAUUAAGCCUGUCUCCCUUUGCAUGUACAUAAGCCUCAGAUCGGCAUAGGGUUUGCUCUGUUGUCAGCACUCAAUACAUGUUUGUUGAAUGAAUGAAUGUACAAGAAGGAUCAGAGUGGGGAGAGGCCACAGGAAGGGGGACCAGUUACAGGGCAUUGG
Molecule: long non-coding RNA, 3060 nt
Organism: Dasypus novemcinctus (nine-banded armadillo)
Lineage: Eukaryota; Metazoa; Chordata; Mammalia; Cingulata; Dasypodidae
Source: Ensembl